UAACGAAUCUUCCGCAAUGGGCGCAAGCCUGACGGAGCAAUGCCGCGUGUGGGAUGAAGCGUCUCUGACGUGUAAACCACUGUCAGGGGUUAGAAACAAUGAUCAACCCCAAAGGAAGUGGCGACUAACUCUGUGCCAGCAGUCGCGGUAAUACAGAGGCCACAAGCGUUAGUCGGAAUCACUGGGCUUAAAGGGUGCGUAGGCUGGUCCGCAAGCGUCUUGUGAAAGCCCUCGGCUCAACCGAGGAACAGCAGGGCGAACUGCGGAUCUUGAGGCAGGUAGGGGUCGCGAGAACAGUAGGUGGAGCGGUGAAAUGCGUAGAUAUCUACUGGAAUGCCGAUGGUGAAGACGCGCGACUGGGCCUGUCCUGACGCUGAGGCACGAAAGCGUGGGGAUCAAACAGGAUUAGAUACCCCAGUAGUCCCUGAGCGGGCUGGCAAGGCGCAU
This 447-nucleotide ribosomal RNA is filed under the name uncultured bacterium. RNAcentral describes it as "bacterial SSU rRNA". It matches the Rfam family "Bacterial small subunit ribosomal RNA", at positions 355 to 825 of the family's 1533-position model. The record is from RNAcentral.